UUCAACUGUUCGAGUGAGAGUCAGAAAACAGACUUCUACCAAAAAAACAAAGCUUCCAAAAAAAUAAGCAUUUUGUUUUAAAAGAAGGAUAAGAAAACAAACUUUUUCCACGAAGCUAGAGCUGAAUAAGACUCCUGCUUGCGCUAAAGCUGACUGAAAAUCAGAAAAUAAGACACCUGCUAAAGCUAGCAACAGCAUGCUAACUGAAAAAGGAAGUUUUGGAGCCAGAGCUAAUGCGUCUCUACGCCGCUAUGAUGCAGAAUGAACAGCCUGAACACUGCCUGCUCUGAAGAAUUGCAGAAUCAAGGAGGUUCAAUUGCAGUGGAAAGUCAAUGACCACUGGCUGAGCAUCAUCCACCGCCCCUAAGUGACAACUCAGCCGGUCUGCUUAGCUUGAAGAAGAGCAGAGAUGGACACUCACACCUCCCUGCCUGCCAGCCGCACCACAGGAGUUGUCCACUGUAGUAGGCUGGAUCCGCUCACAUGUUGGAAAGCAACUUGCUGGAUGUUGCAGCGUUUGCAAACACGCUACAUUUACACGCAGUCCGAAAGGAUAAUGCCCGUAAUUAAACAUAGAGGUUGCAUGAUACUCAGGCACAUUUAUGAAACACACAUGUAAAUAUACACUCUCCACAGGGGCUUUGUAAAAGGACUUGUGCUGUUAUUUGUCACGCUAUACUGUGGCAGUGUUCGGAUUAACGCUGGCUCAUAUGGAUGGAUCAUGGCUUAACUGAUAUGACUUAGAUUUUAGACAUGUGAUAUUAAGAUGACCCUAUAUGGGGAUAAAUACUGGACCAUGCCACCAAGCUAAUGGACACAACCACACGGUCCCCAGGGUGCAAGAAAGUGCAUCCUCCUUCUCAAUUUAUAUAUUUUCCACUUAACAUGAUGUAUACUUGUUUGAAAGUGUCCCAUUGAUGCAUCGUCCUUGAAUAACUCCACAACUGACCUUCUCAUCGUACAAAGUAUGUUCUCACAUGGCCUCAAUGAGUGGUCGUGUUGGUUUCAGUCCUUAAAGCUGUGUCCAGUGGUCUUUCUAUUCUUAAAAUGCAGAUCCGGUGGCGUGUUUGUGUCACGUCAUUAAGAGAAUUACAGCCCUCUUUCAUUGGGACAUAAUAUUAUUACAGUGAGCGUCAUGUAUUACAUUACACAAUCAGCCAUGCAAAAAGAUGCUAAUGCAUUCCUUUCCACAAUUUGGAAGUGUUAUAAAGUGUUUUAUGCAACCAUUGCCCAACAAGCCAGCUCCAUUCAAGAACAAAUUCGUAUUAGAAAUGGCAACUCGGGUAGUAAAGCGUGGACGAAGGGCUUUGGCUGAGGGGGGAUGAAAAAGAGACAGUGUUGGUGAUGAUUAGGAAAAACAUUUCCCCAAUGUGCCUGGCUGUGGCAGUGGAGAUGCAGGAAACUGCUAUGGGCACAUUUUGUUUACAUGAUGCUCCAUUCCGCUUAUUUUAUUAAUCCCUGGGAUUAAUAGGAGUCUCUGUAAAGCAAUGCACAGGAAGAAGGCGUGUUUAAUGCAAACAAGGGCCUCAACUACCGUAUUGAUUACUUCAAUUAUUGAGAAAUCUUCUGAAUAUUUGUCUCUAAAUGUUGUUAACGGUAUCAUUUUGAGGCUGUGGUGGAGAGGAGGACUCUGAACAGACUGUUGUCCAUCAUGGAUAACCCCACCCACCCUCUCCACCUGCAGCUGGACAGACAGCGGAGCUCCUUCUCCAACAGACUGCUCCAACUCCACUGCCACAAGGACAGGUACAGGAGAACCUUCCUGCCUACUGCCCUAACCCUGUAUAGCAACUCCCCUCUGGCUGGCAGAUAACUCUCUGCUCCAUAGCCUCUCUGUGAUCACUGGACUUAAACCAUACUGGAUAUUCUAUAUUUAUUCUAUUUAAUAUUCUUCACCUUUCACACUCAUGUACAUAUUAUAUCCUGCUUUGUUUAGUUUUUGUCUAUAUUUUUUGUACAUUU
Eleginops maclovinus (Patagonian blennie) is the source of this 1962-nucleotide long non-coding RNA. RefSeq lists it as uncharacterized. NCBI's taxonomy places the organism in Eukaryota, Metazoa, Chordata, Actinopteri, Perciformes, Eleginopidae. The record is from RefSeq and is a predicted model, not a curated record. The transcript is spliced from 3 exons.